GCUUUAAGCUUCCAGUUGGCCUUUGUAAGGAGCUGGAAGCGGUCAUUGCUAAGUUUUGGUAGAUAAGGAAUAAGGAUAAGGGCGGUAUACAUUGGAUUUCUUGGCAAAAAAUGAAACGGAGGAAGAAGGCUAGAGGGUUUGGAUUGGCUAGCGAAUUUUACGUAACCCGAAGUCGUUGUUGGGAAGCAUUCUUAAAGCCAAGUAUUUCCCGGAUCAGCCAUUUAUGGAGGCUAGGCAAGGGAUGAGAUCUUCAUGGGGGUGGAAGGGUAUUAUCCAGGGGUGGAAGAUAAGCAUCAAUAUUUACUUCAUGGGGGUGGAAGGGUAUUAUCCAGGGGUGGAAGAUAAGCAUCAAUAUUUAUAACGAUCCUUGGUUGCCAGGGCCUCAUACAUAUAAGGUCAGGUCAAAACAUGUGGAUAGGCCUGUGAUAGGGGAUGCUUUGAUUGAUUCAGAGUGAGCUGUUUGAAGGGAAGAUCUUAUACGAAGGGUCUUUGAGGAAAAAAAAGGUGUGCCAACUCAUGACAGAGCUCAAUCGGGCUAGUAGAAAAGAUAUGAUGAUGGUGGUGCUUGACUUUGUACAUCCUAAUCAACAAUGGCCGAGGAAAGAACACACCUUGGCCUGGCUUCUAGAACCUAAAGACAAGGUUACCUAAUUCACUGUGAAGUUUAGGAUCUUAUGCACUGAGUUUGGCUGUUUCAACUAUAUUUGUGAGAAUAGAGUGCGCCAAACCAGUAGUAGGUUAAGGGGCAAAGGUACCCAAAGGAGAUGAGUAUUUUUAUAAUGAACGUGGUUGGCCUUCAAAAUGCUGAACUAUGAAGUGCACCUGAGAGUAACCGAUCAUAGAGUACUUCACUUUGCCAAGCAACUAAUGAAGUGACCACUUUAGACCAAAGAAUUGAGAACUCUUCACAUACCAAGACUUGGAUAGAUAACCAACUAACCAAAAGCAGUAUUGUACUUGUCCAAAAUAAAGGUGUUCCUGAAUCGUCUGGUUGUACGGCUCUAGUCCUAUUUACUUAUCCACACGGAAGAUGCCUCCAAUUGUCAAAAUUACUUAUCCAUACUGAAUGUGUGUUGAUGGGAGGGUUAUGAUAAUUAGUAUUUUCUCAAGGGUGUGAGAAAUGUUUCGUGUAGAGCGAAGGUUUUCACAUGGAGAAUUUUUUAGUUGUUUGUUGAGUUGAAGAGAGCUUCACAUUGCAGAAUCUCUUCUAUUUAUAAAGAUGUGCUUCGUAAUAAACAAAUAUGUCGAUGCAGAGUCUUGAUGAGGCUGUGCCUACUCGGAAUUUACCUAGAUAUUCCCUUUUUAGCAUUUCCUUAGCCCAAAUUCAAUAUCUAUCCAGUCUCAACUUAUUCGACUUUAAUCAG
This 1364-nucleotide small RNA is filed under the name Malus domestica (apple). RNAcentral's name for it is "sRNA MD15G0261700". Lineage: Eukaryota; Viridiplantae; Streptophyta; Magnoliopsida; Rosales; Rosaceae. The record is from RNAcentral.